AGCGAACGCUGGCGGCAGGCCUAACACAUGCAAGUCGAACGGAUCCUUCGGGAUUAGUGGCGGACGGGUGAGUAACACGUGGGAACGUGCCCUUUGGUUCGGAACAACUCAGGGAAACUUGAGCUAAUACCGGAUGUGCCCUUCGGGGGAAAGAUUUAUCGCCAUUGGAGCGGCCCGCGUCUGAUUAGCUAGUUGGUGAGGUAACGGCCCACCAAGGCGACGAUCAGUAGCUGGUCUGAGAGGAUGAUCAGCCACACUGGGACUGAGACACGGCCCAGACUCCUACGGGAGGCAGCAGUGGGGAAUCUUGCGCAAUGGGCGAAAGCCUGACGCAGCCAUGCCGCGUGAAUGAUGAAGGUCUUAGGAUUGUAAAAUUCUUUCAGCGGGGACGAUAAUGACGGUGCCCGCAGAAGAAGCUCCGGCUAACUUCGUG
This 433-nucleotide ribosomal RNA is filed under the name uncultured bacterium. RNAcentral's name for it is "partial 16S ribosomal RNA". It matches the Rfam family "Bacterial small subunit ribosomal RNA", at positions 29 to 507 of the family's 1533-position model. The record is from RNAcentral.